RNAcentral lists this ribosomal RNA (268 nucleotides) under uncultured bacterium. RNAcentral describes it as "partial 16S ribosomal RNA". It matches the Rfam family "Bacterial small subunit ribosomal RNA", at positions 793 to 1055 of the family's 1533-position model. The record is from RNAcentral.
GUCCACACUAUAAACGAUGGACACUAGAUAUGGGGAGUAUCGACCCUCUCCGUGUCGAAGCUAACGCGUUAAGUGUCCCGCCUGGGGAGUACGGUCGCAAGACUAAAACUCAAAGGAAUUGACGGGGCCCGCACAAGCAGCGGAGCGUGUGGUUUAAUUCGAUGCAAAACGAAGAACCUUACCAAGGCUUGACAUGCUAGAAGUAGUGCACCGAAAGGGAAUCCAACUGUUAAGUCAGUAGCUAGCACAGGUGCUACAUGGCUGUCGU